GGAGGGGCGGGGCCUGCAAGAAGAGUGGAGGGCGGAGGGCAGAAGGGACUGGGGAAGGGGCGAGGCCUGGAAGAAUAGAGGCAGAGGCGGGAGCGGCCGAUCUUGGCGGAUCCCGCCUCCUCGCGACUCGGCCCCCAGGUCACAUCCCUCCGUCGGUGCCCGCCACCCACUCACCGUGGGGCUCCCGUGCGGCAGGUACACCGGGUAGUCGCGAGCGGUCUGCGGCGGCAGGGACCCCACCAGCCAGGGGAGCAGCACGGCCUCGGGCGUCCCCAGCCGCCACCAACCCUCUGUUGCUGCCACCACCCGGCCGGACACCACCAGACUGACGAAGGUCGUGCCCGCGGCCUCAGCGAACCCGGAGAGGGCUUCCUGGGUACGGGAGGCAGGAGGACUGGGAGUCAGCAGACAAGCGUAGGGGGUGGCAGCGACUUCCCAGAUGGGCAGGGAAUGGGGAGAAACCCACAGCCAGCCCCGAGCUCGCGCAGUGGCCAUGCUCCUACGUCUCACCCUCUCUGAGCCUGAGUUCCUUCACUUUCAUACGAAGUCACAUCCCCAACUCACACUGUGAAGUCUGUGAAAUCUGAUUAAACAUCUAGCCUGGGCGGGCAAACUGAAGCUAAUAAUGUAACCGCAGCAGCUACCGUUCAUCCAGGCCUGUUACAUGCCGAGUAGGCACCAUUAGCAACGUAGAGAAGCCAAGUCACCUGCUGAGAGUCACAUGCCUGGGAGGCCGCCACACCAGGCAAGUCCACAAGAGCAGUAUUUAAGUAGAGGUAGCUAGAGAUCUGAGAGGCAGGAGGAAGAACAUGCACUGAGGUUGGAAACUUGUUGGGAUCUCAGGACUGUGAGGUAGCUGGGUGGAAGUAGACUGUGGAUUUAGCAACAGGUUAGGGGGUGCCAGGUGCCACAGGCCUUCAAACACCAGGCUGAGGAGCUGGGACCUUGUCCUGGGGGAGGUGGAGGCUGCCGGAGGGCUGUGAGCAGGAAAGGGGCAGAGCCAGCUCUGGAUAUAGUAGGGUUCUUCUGGUGGCCGGGUGUGAUGGCUCACACCUGUCAUCCCAGCACUAUGGGAGGCUGAGGCGGGAGGACUGCUUGAGCCCAGGAGUUCGAGACCAGCCCGGGCAACUUAAUGGAAACCCAUCCCCAACCCUAGUCCAUCUCUUAAAAAAAAAAAUAGCUGAAUGUCAGCCGGGCGCGGUGGCUCAUGCCUGUAAUCCCAGCACUUUGGGAGGCUGAGGCGGGUGGAUCACGAGGUCAGGCGUUCAAGACCAGCCUGGCCAACAUAGUGAAACCCUGUCUCUACUAAAAAUACAAAAAAUUAGCUGGGCCAGGCGUGGUGACCAGCGCUUAUAAUCCUAGCUACUCGGGAGGUUGAGGCAGGGGAAUCGUUUGAACCCAGGAGGCAGAGGUUGCAGUGAGCCAAGAUUGCGCCAUUGCACUCCAGCCCCUGUGACAGUGUAAGACUCUGUCUCAAAAAAAAAAAAAAAAAAAAAAUAGCUGAAUGUGGUGGCACAGUGCCUAUAGUGUCAGCUACUGGGGAGGCUGAGAUGAGAGGAUCACUUGAAUCCAGGAGUUCAAGGCUGCAGUGAGCUAUGACUGAGCCACUGUGCUCUAGCCUGGAUGACAGAGCAAGACCCUGUCUCAGAAAAGAAAGAAAGAUGGCCCAGGCGCAGUGGCUCACGCCUGUCAUCCCAGCACUGUGGGAGGCCAAGGCAGGUGGAUCACCUGAGGUAAGAAGUUCGAGACCAG
Molecule: long non-coding RNA, 1752 nt
Filed under: Homo sapiens (human)
Lineage: Eukaryota; Metazoa; Chordata; Mammalia; Primates; Hominidae
Description: long non-coding RNA NONHSAT067247.2
Source: RNAcentral